Molecule: small RNA, 798 nt
Filed under: Histoplasma capsulatum var. duboisii H88
Lineage: Eukaryota; Fungi; Ascomycota; Eurotiomycetes; Onygenales; Ajellomycetaceae
Description: Histoplasma capsulatum H88 hypothetical RNA
Source: RNAcentral
CAGCACAAAGAAGCUAACUCAAAGAAACCGACGACCGGCAGACCGAGCAGGUUUCUAUAUAAAAAUUGGUAUUUUUCUCCAUUUAUUUACAAUAAUUUUUAUUUCACACAAUAUCUCGGAGUUGACCCGAUGGUAUUCCAGAGCCGAGGAAACAAAGAGAUGGAAAGCGAAACCAUAUUUUCGGGGAAAAUUGUCCCUCCCCGCAAGGUCAAACAACCACCUCGGGUGCAACACAAAUGAAGGGAUGCGAAGGGUGAAGGGUGAAAAUGAGGCGGGUAAUCUUGGAAGCCACUGGGUGCUCCUUCGUCGACCGGUAACGAGAGCGAGAGGUGGAACUCAAAAACAAAAAGAAAAAGAAAAAGAAAAAGAAAAAGAAAAAAGAAAAACAUCAUGAGAAACAGCAGUUGUUGGAACAAGAAUAGUAGCGGGAUGUAACUAUGGCUCAGAGUGAAUAAUAAUACCAUGAUCCAAGAAUAAUAGACAAGAAAGAAGCAUGGGUCAAAAUCGCUAAAAAAAAAGUCGUCUAUUAAGGAGUGCCACCCAAGAAAAACAACUAAGGAUAGGUAAUCAUGAAGGGAGAAGAAGCAAACGAAAAGGAAGGGGUUCGCCCUUCGCUCACCUCCCAAAAUCAGACAGACUCAUUCCAGUGAGCGGGAGAUUAUGGAAUCAAUCCUGUCAAAGAGAAAUCAUGAUGAUGACGAUGAUGAUGACGAUAUAUUAUGAUGCGCCGCCCCCAUAAAUAUGCCAUAAUAAAAAAAGAAAAGAGACAAAAGUAAAUGGGAAGAAAGAGCUUGUGUU